This is a long non-coding RNA of Solenopsis invicta (red fire ant), 6137 nucleotides long. RefSeq lists it as uncharacterized. The record is from RefSeq and is a predicted model, not a curated record. NCBI's taxonomy places the organism in Eukaryota, Metazoa, Arthropoda, Insecta, Hymenoptera, Formicidae. The transcript has 2 exons.
CACCCUGUAUAUAAGCGUGUCAUCUGCAAACAUUUUUAUAUUGCACCCUUCUGACAGACUUCAAUUAUAUCAUUUAUAUAUAAUAUAAAUAGCAAAGGUCCUAGUACUGAACCUUGUGGCACUCCAUAUUCUGUAGGCAAUAAUUUAGACCAUAUCUGAUUAAAUCGUACCUGUUGUUUCCUAUUAUUUAAGUAUGAUUUGAACCACUUUAAGAUCAUUCCUCUAAUUUCGUAUUGAUACAUUUUUUCUAACAAUCUUUAUCUAUUGUUUUAAACGCUCUCUUAAGAUCCAUGAAGAUAACUCCUACCAUUUUUCCCUCGCUCACUAUUAAUUUCCAUUCGUCUAUGACGGAUUGAAUCGCUGUUUCACACAAAUAAUAUUUUCUAAAUCCCGCCUAAUGUUCUGUUAUAAUACCGUUUGUUUCCAAAUAUGUUUCAAAUUGUUCUUUUACUACUAAUUCUAACACUUUUUCAUACAUUGGUAACAUAUUAAUAGGCCUAUAUUCAGUCGCUUUUUUGGCUUUAUCUAUCUUUGGGAUCGGUAUUAUAGUAGGUUUUCCAACCUUCCGGACAAUGACCUUCUCUUAAAGAAUUAUUUAUUAAAAUCGCAAAUUCUUGUUUUAUUACGAGAAAAGCUACCUUCAAUAUAUCACUAGUUAUUCCCUCUUCCGUACCUUUCUUUUUUGGUAAUCCCAUAACUAUUUCUUCUAGCUGCUCUAGUGUAACAACCUCAAAACUUUCCAUAAUUCCUUUGUUCUCUGUUAGAAAGUUUUACGUCUAUCGCAGUGAUUUAGACCAGAAGACACAAGGCUUGAGAUGCGUGUUAAUAUAAUGUAUAUAAUUCAGAGAAUAACAGUAGAAUACAAUAUAAAUAUAUGUCAGGCGAUACGAAGCCAUAAGAGAAAGCAAAACAACAUGAAUUAAGCAAAUAACAAUUGCAAUCUAUAUGCGAUAUACAUAUUAAGUGAUAAGAAGUCCAUAUAAAUUGCGUGCAACGAUAUUAAUCUCCAACAUUCUCAAUAAUAUAAAUAGUUUUCUUAUUUAUAUUCAUCCAAAAUUCAAUUAUAUCACUGCCGGAUCUAUCUACCUUUAUAGAAUUUACUAUACUAUUAAUACUUUGUAUAUAGUAUAAGUUAAAUUUAUCGGCUAUAUUGCACUCUUCUGUAUUGCCUAAGAUCUCAAAAUCUAUAUUUCCUAUUUCCUUUAUACCUACUGGCUCGCCUCUAAUUACUUUUUUCAAGGUUUUCCACAUAGACGUAAGAUUUUCUUUAUUAAGAUCUAUCAUACUUUCGUAAUAUUCUUUCUUUUUUUUCCUGAUUAAUUUUACUACUCCAUUUCUUUCAAUUUUAUACUGUGACCAAUUUUGUUCAAUAUUGUCAUAUAAUGCUUUCCUAUAUGACUUAUCCCUCCUAUCCGCAGCCUUUCUCAUCUCAUCUGAGAGAACCAUUUUUUCCCCUUCCAUACUUUUGGAAUUUUAAUUUUUUUCUUCGGUACCAUUACAUCUAACGCAUCUACUAUACUGUUAACAAAUUUUUUCGCUCUCUUACUCACAUCUAUACAUUUACAUUGCCAUCCCUGACUUUCAUAUAAUUUGUUUUUUACUAAAAUAACAAAUUCAUCUUCAUCAAACUCUUUGUAAUUUCCAGCGCUAAAUUCUCUGUAUUUACUUUCAUUUUUACUCACACUUAACUCUACUUUUAGCCACGCAUGGUCCGUAAUCUUAGGUUCAUGAAUUAUUUGUACUAUUUUAUUAUUAUUAGAGAAAAUUAAAUCUGUAAUCUAAUUGUCUGACUGUCUUUCGUAACUCUCGUCGGUUCGUUUAUAUACUGCUUCAUGCCCAAGCUUAACAUUGUCUCUUGUAAUUUCUUUGUAUAAAACGAGUCCGUCAUAAGGUCUAUAUUAAAAUCUCCUAUUACCAUGCAUUCUCUUUUUAUUACUAACUCCUCUACUAUAUCCUCAAAAAAUCUCGUGAAAUCCCCGUGCAAUGCGCUUGGUGAGUUAUAUGUUACCAUUAUAACUCCUUUAUAAAGUUUUUCUUUCAUUUCUAUCGCAGCACACCAGCAAUUUGAUUCUAACUUUUUUAUUAAUACUACUUCAUAUCUAAUAUCAUCUCUUAUAUACAUAAUAACUCCCCGCUGUGUUCCUAUUUUCGGCAUCGCGUCUAACUACAGUGUAACCCAGCACAUUUAUUUCACUGUCUUCUAUGUCACUAAUCAGCCUGGUUAUCGCUACCACCACAGGAUUUAUGCUCUUCAUAACCUGAUGCUGCAGUUCGUCUAUGUGCGCUGGUAAACUCUGCGCAUUUGUAUACAUAAUUAUUUCUUUUUUUUCGGUAGUUGCUAUUUUGCAUCUUCCCAACCUGCUCUCCUCUUCUCUUCUUGGAACGCCCUCUUAAAAGUUGGACAUUCUCGAUUGAUGGCUUCAUGUUCGUCAUUUAUUUUUAGAUUGUAUGUUCUAUUUUUGAACAUACAAUUCAAACAUUUGCUCUCCGUAGCUGUGCAAACACGCGAAUUAUGAUUCCCUGCGAAUUUGCAGCAUGUUUCUUCUCUCGUACAAUAUUUAACAAUGUGGAAGUACCCCCAGCAUUUAAAACAUCUUUUGACACUGAUGUGAUUAAAUACAGGACAUUUCUUCCAUCCUAUAUUUAGUUUUGAUUUCUUCAAUAUCAGCUCGUGCGUCUCUUCAUCUACUUCCAUUAUUAUUGAUCCUUCUUCAUUUCUUCUUAUUUGAUUGUUACUCUUUUUUUUAACCAUUCUCUUCACAAUUCGCAUAUUUACUGUUGGUGGCGCACUUCCCGAUGCAAUAAGGCGCUCCCAAAUAGUUUAAAUUAAGUUGCGAGAGGACGAGGAGUAACAGAGCCGGGUAGUAUAACGCGCACGCAAUUAACAAAAGCGAUAACACUUUAUUUGACUUUCGCACAGGUGUUUCUCUCUCAAAGUCGUACAGUAAACUUGAAGCUCGUGCUCGGAAAAUCGCUGACCAAGGAGCCGAUCAGGGGGAGAAAAAGCGCGAGGCUCGGGAACGCGACUGCCGAAUCUUGCGACGUUCCGUGAGAUGGAGAUAAGGGUCUAAAAUUCGCUACUGCCGAGGCCCUCUUGCGAGCAUUCGUAAUGCUCGCAUGCGGAGCUCGAGCAUUAUUUAGGAGUACCCAUUCGCGCGAACAUUCCGCCCGCCUUCGCUAGAAGUGUCAGGUUCGAGCGAUCGAACGAUAGAAUAACUUGGUGCGGUCACAACCUAACAUACAUGUCGCGGUAGACACAAACAAGAUUACAGGGUGGAGGAUAAUACUGUAACCCAACUUGUCGGAGGUAAACACACCCAAAAAUUCACAGAUUUAAGUUAAAGGUUAACAGAGUCAAUAUCACGAUUCAGCAAUCAUUAGAUGGCUGUGAAAAAGGCCUUAAAAUUACAAUUUCUUAAACACUACUUGAAUAAAUUGAAAGAGUUCGUAACUAAUAAGACUAGAACGCAUGACUAAGCAGAAGAUUAAAUUAAACUAAUGAAACGAGUAUAUGUUACAAGAUGAAUUAGGCACACGCAACACCUAGAGAUUAAACACUCAGUGGCAAUUCAGAAGGAUUGCGGGUAUCUUUGGUAGACUAAACUUAAUUUAAGCAGUCACUGUACACAAAGGAGUUCACAUAUCUCGAGUCCUGAUACAGCUCUUCUACUAAGCACCACCCGCCAUGGAAGAUUCGAAUUAAGAAAAUUUAACGAGUGUCUGUUCGUGUACCGGCAGCAGAAUAAGUCUGUUGACGGGUCGCACCAACUCCGACGUCGAUGAGCGGAUAGUGGCGACCCUUGUCAGCCCAUCCUUCCCAGGAUGAAGUUGCACCACACUGGCCAGUGGCCACUUUGUCGGAAGAACCAGCUUGUCCUUGAACAGGACCAGGUCUUCCACCUGAAGCUGCCGGUUUGGCUUAAGCCAUUUGGCCCGCUGUUGCAGCUGAGCCAGGUAGUCCGACCGCCAGCGUCACCAAAAGUGACUUCUCAUCAGCCGAAGCAAAUGCCAGCCGGAGCAGGGUUGCCCUGCCUGAUCGAUCUCCGUGAAAGGUUUCGGGGGAGCAACCAGAGGCCUUCCGAUGACCAGGUGUCAGGGCUGAGGCAUCGUUAGGAUCCGCUAAGCGCGCUGAAUGCCGAGAAUUAAAGCAGGCCUCUAUACUAGCCAGCACGGUCAUCAGUUGCUCGUAUGUGAGCUUAGAGUUGCCAAUGACUCUAUAAAGAUGACGUUUCAUCGACUUUACGUUAGACUCCCAGAUGCCCCCAAAGUUUGGAGCUCGAGGAGGGAUGUAUUGCCACUCCACUCCAUCCAACGCCACGGCAGCCGUUACAGCUUGACCGAUGGCGGAAGUCUCCGAGAAGAGUCUAUGCAGUUCGGCCUCGCUGUCCUUGAAGGUGGUAGCGUUGUCGGUGUAGAUGACCCGACAGAGACCACGCCGGGCGGUAAAGCGACGGUAUGCCGCUAAGAAUGCGUCGGUGGUCAAGACAGAGACCAGCUCCAAAUAAAUGGUCUUGACUUACAAGGCACACAAACACCACCACAUACCCUUUCGAUGUCUUUUGACCUCGCCCGGGUGAAGCCUUCACCCAGAAGUAGGCGGCGAAGUCGACUCCAGAGUGCGCAAAUGGUAACGCCGGUUUAGCUCGGAUGGCCGGCAGCGGAGCCAUCUGCUGCUCGAGGGUGAUGGCGUUGUGACGCGCGCACCUGAUGCAGCACAAUGCGUCGGAUCGACAUGUUGGCGCGCAGGAUCCAAUACCUCUGCAACAGAUAGCUAUGUACUAGUCUGUAAACUCCAUGGAGAGAAGAGAUGUGAGCCUUGCGAAUAAGGAGAGCGGUGACGUGAUGGUCCUUAGGGAGAAUGACAGGAUGUUUCUCGGAUUCCGAGAGGAAGGAGUUUUGCAGUCUGCCACCGACGCGGAUCAACCCGUGAGUGUCGACAAAUGGCAGAAGUCUACAAAGGGGGCUGCCAGAUCGAACCUCCCCUCUCAAGGCCAGGCUCCGGAAUUCUUCUGAGAACGCCUCCAUCUGCACCAGCCUGAGAAGUGUCGAUGAUCUGAAGGCCAGUUCUUGCGAGGACAGAAAGCCCCUGCGGCGAUCAAGUUUCGCCAGCUUCGAGUUGAGUCGCCAGCGAUGAACGUACGCAAGAAUCGCGCACAUCCUGUCGAAAGACGAAAAUUUCCGCAGCCAGUCGAAAAGUGAAAGGUCGGAUCGAGUCAACCAGACGUUAACUCGACCGCGUGACUCCAGUUCCAUGGCCUUGAGUACAGUUUUGGAGAGCCAUUCGGUCUGUGGCCGAGUCAGCCACUCAGGCCCGCUCCACCAGAUCCCGGAUUCCUCCUGCUGUCGCGGGGUACAUCCCCUCGUAGCCAGGUCCGCGGGGUUCUGGGCAGAUUUGACGUGCCGCCAAACAGCAGUGGGCAGCAAGGUGGAAUCUCGCUGACUCUGUUCGCCACGUAUGCCUUCCACUUUGAUGGAUACGACUGUAGUCAAGACAGGACUACUUGCGAGUCGCACCAGUAAUGUAUUUGCGCCGGUUGAGCUUCUAGUUGCGGCAGAGUGCCAGCGAUCAACCGCGCAAGAAGAGAAGCCCUACAUAGCACGAGUUUGGAAAGGCUUACAGCCUUCAGAGGCGCCAUCUUAGAUUUGGCCAUCAACAGUCGAGAGUGAGAUGCUGCUGGUACCACGACGUAGAGGGUGGCUGCAAACGCACGCUCAGAAGCGUCGCAAAAGCCGUGGAGAUGCCACUCCAUAGUCUCACUGUCGACCUGUGACUAGAGCGUCCCAGUCUACACUUUGAAGCCACAGGCACUGGAGAAGCAGCUUCGCCCGUAUGACCACUGGACACACCCAGCCCGCCGGAUCGAACAGCGUGGCAAUUUGAAACAAAAUUGCGCGCUUUGUUACUGCAGGAAGUGACGGCGGAAGCCGCACCACAAAGUUCAAGACGUCCAGCCACUUCAGACCUAAGGUCGAGACUGCGUUGCUUGCUGUGAGCCUCCUGUGACGCAGUGGCUUAGUUGUACUGAGAAGGUCGGUGUGAUUGACAGCCCAUUUGUCCACCGCCAUUCCCGAGGAGGAUAGGAUGCCAACAAGUUCCGUCUUAACAGCUGCCGCUUUCUCGUGUGUCUCCCCCCGCC